UGUUGGGUGGUGGUGUGUGUGGUGGUAGUGGUGUGUGUGGUGGUGUUGGUGUGUGUGGUGGUAGAGGUGUGUGUGGUGUUGGUGUGUGUGGUGGUAGAGGUGUGUGUGGUGUUGGUGUGUGUGGUGUUGGUGUGUGUGGUGGUAGAGGUGUGUGUGUGGUGGUGUGUGUGGUGGUAGAGGUGUGUGUGGUGUUGGUGUGUGUGGUGGUAGAGGUGUGUGUGUGGUGGUAGAGGUGUGUGUGUGGUGGUAGAGGUGUGUGUGGUGUUGGUGUGUGUGGUGGUAGAGGUGUGUGUGUGGUGGUAGAGGUGUGUGUGUGGUGGUAGAGUUGGGUGUGUGGUGGUAGAGGUGUGUGUGUGGUGGUAGAGGUGUGUGUGGUGUUGGGUGUGUGGUGGUAGAGGUGUGUGUGGUAGUGGUGUGUGUGGUGGUAGAGGUGUGUGUGGUGGAGGUGUGUAAUGUGUGACAGUGACUGUAUGGGUGUGUUUAAAUGUUUAAAUUUCAUAGUAGUGGUUGUCAUUUAGGUGAUGAUUCUAGUUGGGGUGGCAAUGGUACUGGUGGUGUUGAUUUUGGUAAUGAUGUCUUUGGUGCUACUAGUGGUGAUACUAUGUGUGGUGAUGAUACAAUCUCUGGUGGUGUAGGUGGUAAGUGUAGUGAAGGUGGUGUGUGUGUGUGUGUGUGUGUGUGUGU
Non-coding RNA from Cherax quadricarinatus, 684 nucleotides. Lineage: Eukaryota; Metazoa; Arthropoda; Malacostraca; Decapoda; Parastacidae. The record is from RefSeq and is a predicted model, not a curated record.